Molecule: transfer RNA, 65 nt
Filed under: Gryllotalpa henana
Lineage: Eukaryota; Metazoa; Arthropoda; Insecta; Orthoptera; Gryllotalpidae
Description: tRNA-Phe
Rfam family: tRNA
About the family: Transfer RNA (tRNA) molecules are approximately 80 nucleotides in length. Their secondary structure includes four short double-helical elements and three loops (D, anti-codon, and T loops).
Source: RNAcentral
AUCAGAAUAGCUUAAUGAAAGCACUACAUUGAAGAUGUAGCAAUAAUGGUAUGCAUUUUUUGAUA